RNAcentral lists this ribosomal RNA (490 nucleotides) under uncultured bacterium. RNAcentral's name for it is "partial 16S ribosomal RNA". It matches the Rfam family "Bacterial small subunit ribosomal RNA", at positions 30 to 507 of the family's 1533-position model. The record is from RNAcentral.
AUUGAACGCUGGCGGCAUGCCUUACACAUGCAAGUCGAACGGCAGCAUGAUCUAGCUUGCUAGAUUGAUGGCGAGUGGCGAACGGGUGAGUAAUACAUCGGAACGUGCCCUGUAGUGGGGGAUAACUAGUCGAAAGAUUAGCUAAUACCGCAUACGACCUGAGGGUGAAAGUGGGGGACCGCAAGGCCUCAUGCUAUAGGAUCGGCCGAUGUCUGAUUAGCUAGUUGGUGAGGUAAAGGCUCACCAAGGCGACGAUCAGUAGCUGGUCUGAGAGGACGAUCAGCCACACUGGGACUGAGACACGGCCCAGACUCCUACGGGAGGCAGCAGUGGGGAAUUUUGGACAAAGGGCGAAAGCCUGAUCCAGCAAUGCCGCGUGUGUGAAGAAGGCCUUCGGGUUGUAAAGCACUUUUGUCCGGAAAGAAAUGGCUCUGGUUAAUACCUGGGGUCGAUGACGGUACCGGAAGAAUAAGGACCGGCUAACUACGUG